This 499-nucleotide ribosomal RNA is filed under the name uncultured Glomeromycotina. RNAcentral describes it as "partial small subunit ribosomal RNA". It matches the Rfam family "Eukaryotic small subunit ribosomal RNA", at positions 591 to 1092 of the family's 1831-position model. Lineage: Eukaryota; Fungi; Glomeromycota. The record is from RNAcentral.
CCAAUAGCGUAUAUUAAAGUUGCUGCAGUUAAAAAGCUCGUAGUUGAAUUUCGGGACCAAUAUGUCGGUCGUGCUUCGGUACGUACUGUCAUAAUUGGUUUCUCCCUUCUGAAGAACCUUGAUGUCAUUAAUUUGGUGUCUUGGGGAAUCAGGACUGUUACUUUGAAAAAAUUAGAGUGUUUAAAGCAGGCUCGCGCUUGAAUACAUUAGCAUGGAAUAAUGAAAUAGGACGUUUGAUUCUAUUUUGUUGGUUUCUAGGAUCGACGUAAUGAUUAAUAGGGAUAGUUGGGGGCAUUAGUAUUCAAUUGUCAGAGGUGAAAUUCUUGGAUUUAUUGAAGACUAACUACUGCGAAAGCAUUUGCCAAGGAUGUUUUCAUUAAUCAAGAACGAAAGUUAGGGGAUCGAAGACGAUCAAAUACCGUCGUAGUCUUAACCAUAAACUAUGCCGACUAGGGAUCGGAUGAUGUUAAUUUUUUAAUGACUCAUUCGGCGCCUUACG